This 272-nucleotide ribosomal RNA is filed under the name uncultured bacterium. RNAcentral describes it as "partial small subunit ribosomal RNA". It matches the Rfam family "Bacterial small subunit ribosomal RNA", at positions 26 to 285 of the family's 1533-position model. The record is from RNAcentral.
AGAAUCAACGCUGGCGGCGUGCCUAACACAUGCAAGUCGAACGCGAAAGGGGAGCAAUCCCUGAGUAGAGUGGCAAACGGGUGAGUAACACGUGGGUGACCUGCCUUCGAGUGGGGGAUAACGUCCCGAAAGGGACGCUAAUACCGCAUGACAUCCUGCUCUUGGAAGGGCGGAGAUCAAAGCUGGGGAUCGCAAGACCUGGCGCUUGAAGAGGGGCCCGCGCCUGAUUAGCUAGUUGGUAGGGUAACGGCCUACCAAGGCAACGAUCAGUA